UUCGUCACACUAUCAUUAACUGAAUCCAUAGGUUAAUGAGGCGAACCGGGGGAACUGAAACAUCUAAGUACCCCGAGGAAAAGAAAUCAACCGAGAUUCCCCCAGUAGCGGCGAGCGGACGGGGAGCAGCCCAGAGCCUGAAUCAGUGUGUGUGUUAGUGGAAGCGUCUGGAAAGGCGUGCGAUACAGGGUGACAGCCCCGUACACAAAAAUGCACAUAUUGUGAGCUUGAUGAGUAGGGCGGGACACGUGGUAUCCUGUCUGAAUAUGGGGGGACCAUCCUCCAAGGCUAAAUACUCCUGACUGACCGAUAGUGAACCAGUACCGUGAGGGAAAGGCGAAAAGAACCCCGGCGAGGGGAGUGAAAAAGAACCUGAAACCGUGUACGUACAAGCAGUGGGAGCACGCUUAGGCGUGUGACUGCGUACCUUUUGUAUAAUGGGUCAGCGACUUAUAUUCUGUAGCAAGGUUAACCGAAUAGGGGAGCCGAAGGGAAACCGAGUCUUAACUGGGCGUUAAGUUGCAGGGUAUAGACCCGAAACCCGGUGAUCUAGCCAUGGGCAGGUUGAAGGUUGGGUAACACUAACUGGAGGACCGAACCGACUAAUGUUGAAAAAUUAGCGGAUGACUUGUGGCUGGGGGUGAAAGGCCAAUCAAACCGGGAGAUAGCUGGUUCUCCCCGAAAGCUAUUUAGGUAGCGCCUCGUGAAUUCAUCUCCGGGGGUAGAGCACUGUUUCGGCAAGGGGGUCAUCCCGACUUACCAACCCGAUGCAAACUGCGAAUACCGGAGAAUGUUAUCACGGGAGACACACGGCGGGUGCUAACGUCCGUCGUGAAGAGGGAAACAACCCAGACCGCCAGCUAAGGUCCCAAAGUCAUGGUUAAGUGGGAAACGAUGUGGGAAGGCCCAGACAGCCAGGAUGUUGGCUUAGAAGCAGCCAUCAUUUAAAGAAAGCGUAAUAGCUCACUGGUCGAGUCGGCCUGCGCGGAAGAUGUAACGGGGCUAAACCAU
This 1011-nucleotide ribosomal RNA is filed under the name Shigella sonnei. Its description in RNAcentral is "partial 23S ribosomal RNA". It matches the Rfam family "Bacterial large subunit ribosomal RNA", at positions 139 to 1190 of the family's 2925-position model. Lineage: Bacteria; Pseudomonadati; Pseudomonadota; Gammaproteobacteria; Enterobacterales; Enterobacteriaceae. The record is from RNAcentral.